AACGUAGGAGGCAAGCGUUAUCCGGAGUUACUGGGCGUAAAGCGUAUGUAGGCGGUUGGGCAAGUGGCGUGUGAAAGCUCCCGGCUAAACUGGGAGAUGACAGGUCAGACUGCUCGACUCGAGUCCGAUAGAGGAGCGUAGAAUUCCGGGUGUAGCGGUGAAAUGUGUAGAGAUCCGGAGGAAUACCAGUGGCGCAAGCGGCGCUCUGGGUCGGGACUGACGCUGAGAUACGAAAGCGUGGGGAGCGAACGGG
RNAcentral lists this ribosomal RNA (253 nucleotides) under uncultured bacterium. RNAcentral's name for it is "partial 16S ribosomal RNA". It matches the Rfam family "Bacterial small subunit ribosomal RNA", at positions 524 to 776 of the family's 1533-position model. The record is from RNAcentral.